ACCAGUGUGGCGUAAUGGUUUGAGCACUGGACUAUGACUCUGGAGACCAGGGUUCAGUUCCCAGAUUGGCC
Molecule: non-coding RNA, 71 nt
Organism: Phrynosoma platyrhinos (Desert horned lizard)
Lineage: Eukaryota; Metazoa; Chordata; Lepidosauria; Squamata; Phrynosomatidae
Source: the annotation of a GenBank genome assembly